Long non-coding RNA from Mesocricetus auratus (golden hamster), 2488 nucleotides. RefSeq lists it as uncharacterized. NCBI's taxonomy places the organism in Eukaryota, Metazoa, Chordata, Mammalia, Rodentia, Cricetidae. The record is from RefSeq and is a predicted model, not a curated record. The transcript has 4 exons.
UUUAUUCAUAUGGUGAACUACAUUGGCAGAUUUUCAUAAGAUGAACCAUCUCUGCAUCUCUGGGAUGAAGCAUCUUGGUGAUGGUGGAUGGUCUUUCUGAUGUGUUCUCAGAUUUAUUUUGGAUUACAGGUCCAUUUAACUGGUUUAUUUGAUCCUGAUUUAACUUUGCUGCUGGAUGAAGGAUCUACGAUGGAAUUUAAGGAAUCAAAUAUCAAAGUAAGAAAAUGCCAAAGAGCAAACUAUUUGCCUCCACAGGCACUCAGAUGACAUCAAGUGCUGCUUCCUGAAGGCAUCAGAGGAGUGCAGGGGACUGAACUCAGAGAAAUGACUAAACUUCCUUUCCAGGCCUGGGGCAGAUGUGUUUAAGAAAUAGCUAUUAGAAUGUAUAUGCAGCAAUGGGCAUGGAUAGCUUUAAAUACUUUUUACAAAGUGGGAAGAGGCAGGGCAGGGGGGAACUAGAAGAACUAUGAGUAGUGAGAGGAGGCUGGUUUGAGUUCCUGUCACUAUUUGACAAGGCCUUUAUUCAAUGUCUUUAUAACUGCCAUUAUUUUAACUACCCAUCUGUAAAGGAAGGCUGGAGACAUGAAAAUGCCAACUCCAGGUCUUUGACUUUGAAAACACCUGUCCUUUUAAAGGUUGUGUUUAAUGUGUGUUGUGAGUCAACCAGGAAACUCAGACUCUGUCUAUCAUGACCUCCUGCCAGGUCAAUGGUCCAUUUCCUAGCACCCUGGCUCCUUUAUACACGAUGGGGAUUGUACUAAACUUGGUGCCAUAAUCCAAGGGUGUCAUGCUUCUGGGAUUUGUUCAUAUUAAACCCUCAUCUUGGAAUGAUCACGUUGUGUUUUCAUCUAAGAAACACCUGUUUGUCGUUUUAUCUCUUCCCUCUUUCCUCCUCAACUUUCUCCCUUUCUCCUUUCUUUCCUCUCAUUUUUUGUUUCAUUCUUUCUGUUCACAAAGAGUGGUUUUCCUUAUGAUACUGCUGUGUUGAAAGUUGGACAGUAUUGAAAAGUGGAUAGAAUAUAAACAUCACUGAUCGUGGAGGCUUUGUAGAUAAGUCUACACUUUGUAGAUAACUACACUUCCCCAGAGUUCUUUCCCCGUGGGGCUCCAGAACAGCCUAGGCAAGAAUAUCUAUUUAUUUAUUUAAAUUAAAAUUUUAAAAAGGUGUGUGUGUGUGUGUGUCUGCUUGUCUGUCUGUGUGCCAUGCGCAUGAAGGUAUUAGAGGAUGCCAGAAGAAGGUGCUCAGUUCCCUGGAACUGGAGUUAGAGGUAGUUGUAAGCUGCCUGAUGUGAGUGCUGAGAAGAGACCAUUGUUCCUCUGCAGAGCAGCAAGAACUUUUAACUGCUGAGCCACCUCCCCAGCCCCCAAAACAGCUAUCUAAUGUGAUAUUUAGAAGAAAGUGGAGCCAAGGCUGUUGUGCUGUUUUGAAAAAAAGGGAACAUGUCUCAGGUCCUGUGGUGGUUUACAUACACAGUUACCUAUCUAUUGGAUCAAACCCUGCCACACCUAUAACCACUGAGUAUCUUCUCCUUGAUAUGACUGAGAGUUAACUCUAAGGACUCAUGAUGGUGACUUGAUUCUCAGUAUAUGGAUGGUAAGAUAUCACUGAGCCAAGUGUGAGCUGCUUAUGUUAUCAGAGAUAUUACUCUUGGAAGGGAAUUCUCAGAGGACCCUGAGUGGUCCCCAAAAGAGACGGGUCUUUCUAGCUCUUCAACUCCCUGCCUUUCUAUGUGAUUUUUGCUUUGUCACCUGUGCUCUGGUCAUGAAGCCUUCACUGUGUAGUGAUGCAGUGACAAGAUUUUAGGUGAGCUGAGCAGAGGUGGAUGUCAUAUUGAACCUCCAAAGCUUUGAGCUAAGUAAACCUUUAUUUAAUAAAGUACUGGCCUUAGGGAUUUUAUUAUAGCAGAGGAAAAUGGAUUGGUGUAUCCUUUUAUUUUGUUCUUUUUGUGUGUAAAAUGUGAACCAAAAGAAUCUUAUCUUUUUAAUUUUUACAUUAAUUUAUUUGUGUCUAUAUAUGUGUGCUCCUAGGGAGAUCGGAGGACUAUUUGUUAGAGUCAAUUCUCUCCUUUCACCAUGUGGGUUCUUAACAUUGAACUGAGGUUGUCAAGCUUGGUGGUAAGUGCCUUUACCAGCUGAGUCAUCUUGCCAGUUUUUUGUUUGUUUUCCAUUUUAAUUUAAUCAUAUUAUGAAUGUAAUCCCAGAUCAACACAAAUUCUUCAAAUAUAUGUUUGUAUCAUAUGCCAUUAUAUUGACUGGUAUCUAAUAUUUAUGAAAUUAUUAAAUUAUAUGGCAUCUUACUAGUAUUUGCUAAUAUUACUCUAAAACGGGCAAUUUAGCUUUUUAGUGAUCUUGAACUUUUUAAAUUGCUUCUCAGAAAUGCUUCACUAGUGUACAUUUAUUUCAAACCACUUGUCUGUGACUGUUUUUGCCUUAUCUGAACCUGCACUACAUAUUUUCAGUAAUAAAAUGAAAUAAUAUUUCUUCACCA